This is a long non-coding RNA of Cygnus olor (mute swan), 637 nucleotides long. RefSeq lists it as uncharacterized. The record is from RefSeq and is a predicted model, not a curated record. The transcript has 4 exons. NCBI's taxonomy places the organism in Eukaryota, Metazoa, Chordata, Aves, Anseriformes, Anatidae.
UCGAGAUGGCAGAAGGAGUAAUGACCUCUUAAGCAUCCCUCCAGCCCUGCUUUCUGAGAUCCUGAAAUGCCUGCUGGGUUUGCAGGAGCUGUAGGAAUGGCAUCUUGAGGAGCUGAACCACAGCAGCUCCCAGACCUCUGGCUAGAAGGCUGCUGCACCGGAUUAACGCUGCCUGGCCCCAAACCCAUUCUGCAUCUCAGGGAAGCCCUGAUACUGUAAAACUAUAUUGGAUUCCAGUCACUAACCCGUCAGUGAACCUGUGGAGUUGGAAAUGUCUCCGGGGCUGUCAUGUAACAUUUCCUGGUGACACGGGAUAACCCUCUCCGCUGACCAGAAUGUAGAGCAGUCAGGGAGAGUGGUGUAUACCGACUAACCCGGAAGGAGGGGCAGCACGGCAGGAGAUAGCACAGUCCCCAAGGUUUCAGGAAAACAAGUGACUGGCGAGAGGACAAAGAGCGUGAGUGCUGUAUGGAGGAAUAACUAGCAGAAUUCAAUGCCAUUCUCCACUUGAUCUGCGAGCAGAAGACCUUGCCUUGCACCAGUUCUGAGACUCUAGGGAUCAUGAACACCAACUGUGCACUGAGUCCAAUCCUGGGUCAUCAAACCGUGUACGUGGAAUGGGAAUAAAAAGACUUUU